AGCUAUUUAAACGGCCGCGGUAUACUAACCGUGCAAAGGUAGCGUAAUCACUUGUCCUUUAAAUAGGGACUAGUAUGAAUGGCAACAUGAGGGUGUAACUGUUUCAUGUGACCAAUCAUUGAACCUGAUCUUCCAGUACAAAAGCUGGAAUAUAUACAUAAGACGAGAAGACCCUGCGGAGCUUUAAACCCCUUCACACCGACCAAUCAUAACACCCACGGACACACCAAUACAGCGAGUGAGAAGCGUUUUAAGUUGGGGCGACUGCGGAGUAAAAAAUACCCCCCGCGAUAAUAAACCUGCCAUAGG
Molecule: ribosomal RNA, 309 nt
Filed under: Uroplatus fetsy
Lineage: Eukaryota; Metazoa; Chordata; Lepidosauria; Squamata; Gekkonidae
Description: partial large subunit ribosomal RNA
Rfam family: Archaeal large subunit ribosomal RNA
Source: RNAcentral